This 517-nucleotide ribosomal RNA is filed under the name uncultured bacterium. RNAcentral's name for it is "bacterial SSU rRNA". It matches the Rfam family "Bacterial small subunit ribosomal RNA", at positions 992 to 1509 of the family's 1533-position model. The record is from RNAcentral.
AGAACUUAGCAGAGAUGCUUUGGUGCCUUCGGGAACUCUGAGACAGGUGCUGCAUGGCUGUCGUCAGCUCGUGUUGUGAAAUGUUGGGUUAAGUCCCGCAACGAGCGCAACCCUUAUCCUUUGUUGCCAGCGGUUAGGCCGGGAACUCAAAGGAGACUGCCAGUGAUAAACUGGAGGAAGGUGGGGAUGACGUCAAGUCAUCAUGGCCCUUACGAGUAGGGCUACACACGUGCUACAAUGGCGCAUACAAAGAGAAGCGACCUCGCGAGAGCAAGCGGACCUCAUAAAGUGCGUCGUAGUCCGGAUUGGAGUCUGCAACUCGACUCCAUGAAGUCGGAAUCGCUAGUAAUCGUGGAUCAGAAUGCCACGGUGAAUACGUUCCCGGGCCUUGUACACACCGCCCGUCACACCAUGGGAGUGGGUUGCAAAAGAAGUAGGUAGCUUAACCUUCGGGAGGGCGCUUAUCACUUUGUGAUUCAUGACUGGGGUGAAGUCGUAACAAGGUAAGCGUAGUGCU